GUUUAGAAUUGAUUCCUACUUCUUUCUGUGGCUGUUGUAGACGCCUUGUAUGCACCGGGGGUGCUUGGUGUACAAGGAGGGUCUGUGCGCGUGCUCGGUGGCCAUGGGCUUCCGUUCGGACCUGGGGCGUGACAUUUAUACUCAUAAAUUUUCAUCCAUUCGAUGAAGAAACGUGCGGUUAGAUUGACAGUGAUCCCCUAAGGUUGAAUAGUAUGAUCUAACGGAUGAAAAUGGUCAAAGGGGUAGAUGUAAUAGUCAAAAAAUUAUGAGUAUAAAGAAAUCCACAUUCAUAAAAGUAUAAUAGCUGAACUCUCUCUAUAUUUAUAGGAUAUAAAACGCAGUAGAUGAGCAUGUGACAAAAAAUAUCAAAAAAAGAGGUGGAGAAGGAAUAUGAG
This 395-nucleotide long non-coding RNA is filed under the name Ananas comosus (pineapple). RNAcentral describes it as "long non-coding RNA (ACOM_LNC009249)". The record is from RNAcentral. Lineage: Eukaryota; Viridiplantae; Streptophyta; Magnoliopsida; Poales; Bromeliaceae.